GGUAUGGCGCAGUUGGUUAGCGCGCCAGAUUGUGGUUCUGGAGACCGUGGGUUCGAGUCCCACUAUC
RNAcentral lists this transfer RNA (67 nucleotides) under uncultured Butyrivibrio sp. It matches the Rfam family "tRNA". From Rfam's summary of the family: Transfer RNA (tRNA) molecules are approximately 80 nucleotides in length. Their secondary structure includes four short double-helical elements and three loops (D, anti-codon, and T loops). Lineage: Bacteria; Bacillati; Bacillota; Clostridia; Lachnospirales; Lachnospiraceae. The record is from RNAcentral.